UUAGUUUAAUUGGUAGAGCGUUAAACGGAUACUUUAAUGGUCGAAAGUUCAAUCUCUUUCA
Non-coding RNA from Ascaris lumbricoides (common roundworm), 61 nucleotides. Lineage: Eukaryota; Metazoa; Nematoda; Chromadorea; Rhabditida; Ascarididae. The record is from Rfam.